This is a long non-coding RNA of Acanthopagrus latus (yellowfin seabream), 979 nucleotides long. RefSeq lists it as uncharacterized. Lineage: Eukaryota; Metazoa; Chordata; Actinopteri; Spariformes; Sparidae. The transcript has 2 exons. The record is from RefSeq and is a predicted model, not a curated record.
GAGGCUGGAGCAACAUUGCCAGUGAUGAGGGUGGCUGAGCCGUCUCCAGUGGGGCCCUGUCAAGCAUACACUGAGGAAUGGGUGGAGCUUUUGUCUUGAUCUCAUCUGAUGGCUUCAGCUCCUGACGCCUCCCAGAGGAGCCGGCGGAGGAGGAGAGGAAUUCCACUGGAUUCAAAGACUUCUCUGGGUUUGCUUUUUGACUCUUCCGCCUCGCCUCGCCUCGCCUUGCCUUCCCCCUUCCACCAGCUCCUCGCGUUGACCCAUUCCCCCCCCCGUGAUCCCCGGCCAAACCAUCUUCCUGGCCCCGGGGGCGCUGUGGCCUCGUGUGCACGAGCAGGCACAUUACACGACUGCUUUUAUUCUGGACAAAUCCAAGAGUAGGGUUCCUCUGCAUGUCCAAGCCUUUGAUUCAAUGAAGACGGAGAAUAAACUUUGGCCCGAUUCAACAGACUUUUUUUUCAUCAGGGCUUAUACAUUUGUUGAGGGAGCUGUAGAUAAGUUGCCAGGUUCCCUCACAAACUGCAGCCUCGAGCAUAUCCCUAUGGAUUCCACUGAGAGUUCUGUGGCAGGCAGUCUUCAAAAGAGUGGGACAUUAUAUCUGAAAGGACUUUUGCCGUAAUGAAAAAUGAAAAGUGUGUGUUUUCCCAGUACCAUCUGGUUUCAAUCGCGGCAAUAUCCUAAACAUGACCAGUUUCUUGAAUCAGCUACCCUCAGCUUGCCUCCCAGACGUCAGGCACUCAUUAUUCCAGUCAGGCCUCUCCGACAGCCACACAAAGUUGAGCGUUUUCACCAGUCGAGCCCAAGUAGAAGUCAGCUAUUCUCUCAUUCACCUCAUAAUCACGCUGCAAUGGCUGUUUUCAUUGUUAAAAUGUGGUUCAUAAUGGCCCAGUUUUUUUAUUAUGGGUCACAUGAUCCGACACAACUCCAAGGAAAGUCUUUUUUAAGGUGUUGAUCGACACAUCUGUUUUUCUGUUGUUUU